Molecule: long non-coding RNA, 1450 nt
Organism: Cephus cinctus (wheat stem sawfly)
Lineage: Eukaryota; Metazoa; Arthropoda; Insecta; Hymenoptera; Cephidae
Exons: 6
Source: RefSeq, a predicted model, not a curated record
CAGUAGAGAACUCUACUGCGCAGUCUCCCCCAGUCAAGGCGCAACUUCUUGCACAACUUUUACUAUGGAAUUCUAUCCGUCGGAUAGGAUUUUUGUCAAUUUCUUGUACCAGUACCACCAGUGGAACUUUAUCGUCUAAAAUUCCAGAUUGCUCACUUGACAUUUAUUUAUCAUAAAUUAAUGUUUCUAAUGAAUAUCACUCAUCUUUUCGAGAACAACCACGUUUUGCAAGGCUUCGGCGUCAUUUUUCUCGCUUGAUUUAUGCAAGGACCUUUGACCCUAAUUACCACGAAACACGAUCCCAUUCUACUUCACUCGUGAAACGUUCUCAGGAUGUAAUAUUACUCUGAACUCAUGAACUCUUUUAUAAAGUAUAUCAGUGCAAUUUGGCUUUUGCGGUCGGAAUACUAAAAAUAAAAUGUCGCCGGCGGAAAAACAUUUGGAAGGGCGAUAACCUCAAAAUGAUGACUAUAUGCGCCGAUACGCAAUUCGGUUAACGGAAUGUAUCCACUGUUUGCAUCUCGAUUACAUUACACUGCUGAGAAUUUUCAAGUACCUCUAGACCAUUGGAACCAGAGUUAGUAAUCUCUCAACUGGUUCUGUUUAUUCAAGGCUAAAGAAGAUGGCAACCUUUUUUCUCUACUCCUAAAAGACGCCUUGAGGGACCCCAUGGUGUCUAGAAAUUCUUGACGUCCCAACAACUUACGUUUAGUCAUAGUAAGAAGUGAAAAAAAAAAAACAUUCAAAGGUCGUAACCUUUCAACUGGUUUGGUCCAGUCUAGACAGAGAAUACAUCAAUCCACUACAUCCAAGAUGCAGUCAUAAGUAGCAUUCAUUUAUUUCGAGUCAUGAAUCAUCACUUUCCUCCAUUGUAAGCGAGUGUAUUCACGUACAAGGAAGAGUGAUAAAAUACGUAAGAGAAAAAAAACUCAUUCCUAACCUAUAUUUUGCUAUGAAAAUUACAAAUAAUAUCUCACUGGUUCAAGCUGGAAACUGGCGAUCUGCUAAAGUAAUAAUUUCGUUUCCCUCUCAUUGUCAAUUAGUACACGUAUAGUUAGGAAGUGCAUUCUAAUUUAUUAUUAAGGGAACAGGUGCAAUGUCUUUUUUUUUUAUUCUCCCCUUUAUUACCGCAUCCGCAUCGUGCAACCAGUAUGACAUACGAUUCUCAAGGUGCAAAAGGUCUUUUCGUGCAGUGCCAGAUUACGGAAGCCCUUCUCCCUUCUAACGUACUUUCAUAAUGUCAUUACACAAUGCAAAUAGCGAAACUCUGUACCGACUUCAGGGUGUAUCGUUAUAAUAAUGCUCCACUUCCUAUUGUUGAGCAUUAUAAAUCAGGUUUCAAUGGUAUAGCAAUCGGUUCACUAGUCAUUGUCUGAAAUUGGUCAAACGAUUGCUCUACGUUUUGUUACCUUCAUGAUUGCCUUUUUAGAAUUUUUUAAUAGAGCUAAUC